Molecule: ribosomal RNA, 672 nt
Filed under: Escherichia coli
Lineage: Bacteria; Pseudomonadati; Pseudomonadota; Gammaproteobacteria; Enterobacterales; Enterobacteriaceae
Description: bacterial SSU rRNA
Rfam family: Bacterial small subunit ribosomal RNA
Source: RNAcentral
AAAUUGAAGAGUUUGAUCAUGGCUCAGAUUGAACGCUGGCGGCAGGCCUAACACAUGCAAGUCGAACGGUAACAGGAAGCAGCUUGCUGCUUUGCUGACGAGUGGCGGACGGGUGAGUAAUGUCUGGGAAACUGCCUGAUGGAGGGGGAUAACUACUGGAAACGGUAGCUAAUACCGCAUAACGUCGCAAGACCAAAGAGGGGGACCUUCGGGCCUCUUGCCAUCGGAUGUGCCCAGAUGGGAUUAGCUUGUUGGUGGGGUAACGGCUCACCAAGGCGACGAUCCCUAGCUGGUCUGAGAGGAUGACCAGCCACACUGGAACUGAGACACGGUCCAGACUCCUACGGGAGGCAGCAGUGGGGAAUAUUGCACAAUGGGCGCAAGCCUGAUGCAGCCAUGCCGCGUGUAUGAAGAAGGCCUUCGGGUUGUAAAGUACUUUCAGCGGGGAGGAAGGGAGUAAAGUUAAUACCUUUGCUCAUUGACGUUACCCGCAGAAGAAGCACCGGCUAACUCCGUGCCAGCAGCCGCGGUAAUACGGAGGGUGCAAGCGUUAAUCGGAAUUACUGGGCGUAAAGCGCACGCAGGCGGUUUGUUAAGUCAGAUGUGAAAUCCCCGGGCUCAACCUGGGAACUGCAUCUGAUACUGGCAAGCUUGAGUCUCGUAGAGGGGGGU